GUAGGUGGCAAGCGUUGUCCGGAAUUAUUGGGCGUAAAGCGCGCGCAGGCGGGUCCUUUAAGUCUGAUGUGAAAGCCCACGGGCUCAACCGUGGAGGGUCAUUGGAAACUGGGGGACUUGAGUACAGAAGAGGAAAGCGGAAUUCCAUGUGUAGCGGUGAAAUGCGUAGAGAUGUGGAGGAACACCAGUGGCGAAGGCGGCUUUCUGGUCUGUAACUGACGCUGAGGCGCGAAAGCGUGGGGAGCAAACAGGAUUAGAUACCCUGGUAGUCCACGCCGUAAACGGUGAGUGCUAAGUGUUAGGGGGUUUCCGCCCCUUAGUGCUGCAGCUAACGCAUUAAGCACUCCGCCUGGGGAGUACGGCCGCAAGGCUG
Molecule: ribosomal RNA, 373 nt
Filed under: uncultured organism
Description: partial 16S ribosomal RNA
Rfam family: Bacterial small subunit ribosomal RNA
Source: RNAcentral